Acanthochromis polyacanthus (spiny chromis) is the source of this 499-nucleotide long non-coding RNA. RefSeq lists it as uncharacterized. The transcript is spliced from 5 exons. Lineage: Eukaryota; Metazoa; Chordata; Actinopteri; Pomacentridae. The record is from RefSeq and is a predicted model, not a curated record.
GGCGGAUUCCACCACCAAACCUCUCCUGCAGCGAUGCCAGGAUCUGGUGAAGAUCAUCGACGAGUAUCCAGCUAAGGAGCUGCAUGUGAUCUUCCCCUGGCUGGUAGAGUGUGUGUUCGGCAGUCUGGAUGGAUCAUCUCUGGAUGGAACCUGAGACUCCUUCACUGUCGGAGCAACGAGUACGGCGUGGUGAUGGAGUUCCUGAACCCCAGCGGUCCCAUGAUGAAACUGGUUUACAAACUCCAAGCAGAAGAAUACAAAUAUGAAAUCCCCAUCAACUAUCUGCCGGGUCCAGUGAAGGCCUGCAUCCAGGAAGGAGUUCCCCCGACUGUCCUCUGUUCCACAACAAGCUGCAGUUUCCUCUGUCUGGUCUGCUGACUCUGAACAUCGCUCUCAAUCCGUUUGAAUUCUUCAUGUUUAACUUCGCCUCCUGUCUCAUCACGCCAAAGGUGAGUCUGUCUGCAUCCUGAAGCUCGUUCACUGGACCUGCAGACUUGGG